GCCCCCCUUCCCUUAGGCUUAGUGCUGGGCUAGGAACAUAAGCGGGGACCUCGACGGCGGCGCGCAAGAGGUGCUCGAGGAAAUGCCCGUGCGAGCCCGGCGCUCUCUGGAGGCAGCAGGAACAUGCUCGUGACGCUCGGGUUCCGGCGUGCCGCCGUGCCCCGCCUAGCGCGCCGCGACAUGUGUGGUGCGGCGGCUCGGCGCACCACAGCGUCGGGUUUGGUGGCGGUGGCCGGGGGCGGAGCGAGCUUCCACGACUACGACGCCGCCAUCACGGCGUGCGUCGAGAGGCGGGCGCUCAAGCAAGGAAGGCAGGUGCACGCGCACAUGGUCACGGCGAGGUACCGCCCGCCCGUGUACCUGGCCACGCGGCUGGUCAUCAUGUACGCGAGGUGCGGCGCGCUGGACGACGCGCGCAACGUGCUCGACGGGAUGCCGGAACGGAAUGUGGUGUCCUGGACGGCCAUGAUCUCGGGGUAUUCGCAGAGCAGCCGGCACGCCGAGGCGUUGGAGCUAUUCACCCGGAUGCUUAGAGCUGGAUGCAAGCCUAAUGAAUUCACUUUCGCAACUGUUCUUACAUCAUGUUCUGGCCCUCAAAGCAUACACCAGGUCAAGCAAGUCCAUUCUCUUGUUGCCAAAACAAAUUUUGAGUCGCACAUGUUUGUUGGGAGCUCCCUUCUUGACAUGUACGCCAAGGCAGGGAAUAUCCAAGAAGCUCGGAGGGUGUUCGACAUGCUUCCAGAAAGAGACACUGUUUCCUGUACCGCCAUUAUAUCUGGCUAUGCUCAGCUGGGCCUUGAUGAUGAAGCCUUGGACUUGUUCAGGCAGUUGUACAGUGCAGGGAUGCAAUGCAAUUAUGUUACUUUUACGACCCUUCUCACUUCAUUAUCUGGGCUGGCCUCCCUGGAUUAUGGCAAGCAAGUUCAUGGACUAAUACUUCGUAAAGAGUUACCAUUUUUCGUUGUUCUACAGAAUUCUUUGAUUGAUAUGUACUCCAAGUGCGGCAAGUUGUUAUACUCAAGGAGGGUAUUUGAUCACAUGCCACAGAGAUCAACCAUCAGUUGGAAUGCAAUGCUUAUGGGAUAUGGUAGACAUGGCAUAGGGCAUGAAGUUGUUCAGCUCUUUAGAACUAUGACUGAAGAAGUGAAGCCUGACAGCGUUACCCUGUUGGCUGUUUUAUCUGGUUGUAGUCACGGUGGGCUGGUUGAUGAGGGCCUUGACAUAUUCGAUCUUAUAGUAAAAGAACAAAAUGCAGUUCUCAGCAUUGGGCAUUAUGGGUGUGUUAUUGAUCUUCUUGGACGCUCUGGACGACUACAGAAGGCUUUAGAUUUGAUACAGGAUAUGCCAUUUGAGCCGACUCCAGCAAUUUGGGGUUCAUUGCUUGGUGCUUGCAGAGUUCAUGUUAACGUUAGUGUUGGUGAGGUUGUUGCUCAGAAACUUCUGGACAUGGAGCCAGGAAAUGCUGGAAACUAUGUGAUCCUUUCUAACAUUUAUGCUGCUGCUGGAAUGUGGAAAGAUGUUUUCAGAGUUAGGAACUUAAUGCUGGAGAAGACGGUGACCAAGGAACCAGGGCAGAGCUGGAUAAUUCUUGACAAGGUUAUCCACACCUUCCGCUCAAGUGAUCGUUUCCAUCCCAGGAAGAAAGAUAUAGAUGCUAAGAUAAAGGAGAUAUAUGUUGAUAUUAAAGCAGCUGGCUUUGUUCCGAACCUGAGCUGUGUUCUGCAUGAUGUUGACGAUGAGCAGAAAGAACGCAUGCUUCUUGGUCACAGUGAGAAGCUGGCAGUAACUUUUGGACUGAUGAACACCCCUCCAGGCUUGACUAUCCGGGUUAUGAAGAAUCUUCGUAUCUGUGUUGACUGCCAUAAUUUUGCGAAGUUUGUUUCAAAAAUUUAUGGAAGGGAGAUAUCUCUCAGGGAUAAAAAUCGAUUUCAUCUACUUACAGAUGGAGCUUGCACUUGUGGAGACUACUGGUGAAAGAAACAUUGAUGUGUUACCAUAUAGCUUUGCUGAUCAGCAGAGCUAUUUUUGUCCAGGUAAUACUGCUUACAGGAUAAGCAAUGUAAUGCUGAAUAUGAGAGCAGUGAAAGAUAAAUGCUCUGUUCAUUCGAGUUCAGUUAUCAGAGAGAUUACCAAAGAUUUGCUACGAAGAGCCACAGUUGGUUCUUCUUAGCACUCCAUACUUGAAGCUUGCACCCUCUUUCUCUCAAUUAUCAUUGAUCGUUGCACCAAGGGCAAUUCAGAGGUUUAGGUUGUAUCAUGGGUUCAUAUGGCAGGUCCCACAAAAAAGAUGUACUAAGGAAGCUUGCACUCUCUCUCAAUUAUCAUUGGUCAUUGCGCCAAGGGCAAUUCAGAGUUUUAGGUUGUGUCAUGGGCUCAUAUGGCAGGUCCCACCAAAAAGACGUACUAAGGCCAUACUCAGGCGGAACAGUGAGGCAUCACCAUUGGCCACGGGCAGGGAGAGAAGGCGGGUCAACAGCGGAGUUUCAGGAGGGCAUUGAUUCCCUGCGGUUAGGAGGCAGGGAGGACGGAGAAGGGCUGGGGCACGCCGAGCAGCUCCUGAGGAGAAAUGGAGGCCUAUCACUGUUUUGUUUUGACAUUAUAUACUGUAAUAAACUUGAAGCUCUGCCCAUCAUACUAUGCAGACUGCAGUGUGUUCUCUUGCACUGUCUGAAGUACAAAAUAAAAAAGGGCAACUAGAGGUUUUACUUCUCUUCAACAAGGAGGCCGGCCUGUGGUUGGGCCUCGGCGCGUUUCCUCAUUCAUUCUUUGACCGCUAGAGGAAGCUUGCGCUCUCUCAAUUAUCACUGGUCGUUGCGCCAAGGGCACUUCAGAGUUUUAGGUUGCAUCAUGGUCUCAUAUGGCAGGUCCCACAAAAAAAGACGUACUAAGGCCAUACUCAGGCGGAACAGCGAGGCAUCACCAUCGGCCACGGGCAGGGAGGGAAGGGGGCAGGUCAACAGCGGAGUUUGAGGAGGGCGUUGAUUAGGAGGCGGAGAGGAAGGAGGAGGGCUGGGGCACGCCGAGCAGGCCCUGAGGAGAACAUGAUUAUCGUUGAACUGAAACCAGGACAACAAUUAUGGAACGGAGGGAGUAGUAUUUUGUUUUGACAUGAUAUUGUAAUAAACUUGUUGCUUUGUGCAUCAUAGAAUGCAGAUUGCAGAUUCUUUUCUUCCACUGUCUAAAGUUGCAUACAAAACAAAAGGAGGGCAGCUAGAGGUUGUACUUCUCUCCAACAAGGUCGGCCUGUGGUUGGGCCUCGGCCCUUUCCUCAUUCAUUCUCUGGCCGCUAAAGGUAAUUCCUUCACACACGCUAAAGAAAUGUGCUGUAAUUCCUAUACACCUCACCUUUGGUAGUGUUUAGAGAUACUGGAAGAGACAUCUGCCAUGGAA
Molecule: RNA transcript, 3390 nt
Organism: Aegilops tauschii subsp. strangulata
Lineage: Eukaryota; Viridiplantae; Streptophyta; Magnoliopsida; Poales; Poaceae
Gene name: putative pentatricopeptide repeat-containing protein At3g13770, mitochondrial
Source: RefSeq, a predicted model, not a curated record